UCCCUGGUGGUCCUGUGGUUAAGACUCUGCACUUCCAGGGCAGAGGCACAGGUUCCAUCCCUGCCCAGGGAA
This 72-nucleotide transfer RNA is filed under the name Bos indicus x Bos taurus (hybrid cattle). It matches the Rfam family "tRNA". Rfam says of the family: Transfer RNA (tRNA) molecules are approximately 80 nucleotides in length. The record is from Rfam by way of RNAcentral. Lineage: Eukaryota; Metazoa; Chordata; Mammalia; Artiodactyla; Bovidae.